RNAcentral lists this ribosomal RNA (458 nucleotides) under uncultured bacterium. RNAcentral's name for it is "bacterial SSU rRNA". It matches the Rfam family "Bacterial small subunit ribosomal RNA", at positions 923 to 1379 of the family's 1533-position model. The record is from RNAcentral.
GCACAAGCGGUGGAGCAUGUGGUUCAAUUCGAAGCAACGCGCAGAACCUUACCAGCCCUUGACAUCCCGGUCGCGGAGAGCAGAGACGCACUCCUUCAGUUCGGCUGGACCGGAGACAGGUGCUGCAUGGCUGUCGUCAGCUCGUGUCGUGAGAUGUUGGGUUAAGUCCCGCGACGAGCGCAACCCUCGCCCUUAGUUGCCAUCAUUCAGUUGGGCACUCUAAGGGGACUGCCGGUGAUAAGCCGGAGGAAGGUGGGGAUGACGUCAAGUCCUCAUGGCCCUUACGGGCUGGGCUACACACGUGCUACAAUGGCGGUGACAGAGGGAUGCAAAGGGGCGACCCUUCGCAAAUCUCAAAAAGCCGUCUCAGUUCGGAUUGGGGUCUGCAACUCGAGCCCAUGAAGUUGGAAUCGCUAGUAAUCGUGGAUCAGCAUGCCACGGUGAAUACGUUCCCGGGC